RNAcentral lists this long non-coding RNA (277 nucleotides) under Daucus carota (carrot). Its description in RNAcentral is "long non-coding RNA (DCAR_LNC003186)". Lineage: Eukaryota; Viridiplantae; Streptophyta; Magnoliopsida; Apiales; Apiaceae. The record is from RNAcentral.
UUUUUCUUACCAAGUCCGUUACGUUCUAGGCAGGCCCUUGUAUGCACAACGCGUGUCUUUUUUCAGUGCUUCGAUCCUCUUUUCUCUGCCCCUUAUAAUAUUCCUGAUCAACUUUUGUGGCUAUGUUCUGAAUGUGAUUCAUUUUGGUUGCAUGAUUUACGGGUUACUAUUUCAGGGGUUUGGUUAGAAGUGGAGUAGUGUGUUUUGGGUGAGAAUGGCUGAUCGUAACGUGGAGAAGCUAGCGUCUAUUGAUGCUCAUUUGAGGUCUCUGGUUCCU